GGACGAACGCUGGCGGCGUGCUUAACACAUGCAAGUCGAACGGAAAGGCCCUGCUUUUGUGGGGUGCUCGAGUGGCGAACGGGUGAGUAACACGUGAGUAACCUGCCCUUGACUUUGGGAUAACUUCAGGAAACUGGGGCUAAUACCGGAUAGGAGCUCCUGCUGCAUGGUGGGGGUUGGAAAGUUUCGGCGGUUGGGGAUGGACUCGCGGCUUAUCAGCUUGUUGGUGGGGUAGUGGCUUACCAAGGCUUUGACGGGUAGCCGGCCUGAGAGGGUGACCGGCCACAUUGGGACUGAGAUACGGCCCAGACUCCUACGGGAGGCAGCAGUGGGGAAUAUUGCACAAUGGGCGGAAGCCUGAUGCAGCAACGCCGCGUGCGGGAUGACGGCCUUUGGGUUGUAAACCGCUUUCGCCUGUGACGAAGCGUGAGUGACGGUAAUGGGUAAAGAAGCACCGGCUAACUACGUG
This 469-nucleotide ribosomal RNA is filed under the name uncultured bacterium. RNAcentral's name for it is "partial 16S ribosomal RNA". It matches the Rfam family "Bacterial small subunit ribosomal RNA", at positions 27 to 507 of the family's 1533-position model. The record is from RNAcentral.